CAGCAGCCGCGGGAAUACGAAGGGUGCAAGCGUUAAUCGGAAUUACUGGGCGUAAAGCGUGCGUAGGCGGUGAGUUAAGUCUGCUGUGAAAUCCCCGGGCUCAACCUGGGAACUGCAUUUGUGACUGACGGGCUAGAGUAUGGCAGAGGGGGGUAGAAUUCCACGUGUAGCAGUGAAAUGCGUAGAGAUGUGGAGGAAUACCGAUGGCGAAGGCAGCCCCCUGGGCCAAUACUGACGCUCAUGCACGAAAGCGUGGGGAGCAAACAGGAUUAGAUACCCCUGUAGUCCCUGUCUCUUAUAC
Molecule: ribosomal RNA, 301 nt
Filed under: uncultured bacterium
Lineage: Bacteria
Description: partial 16S ribosomal RNA
Rfam family: Bacterial small subunit ribosomal RNA
Source: RNAcentral